Aphis gossypii (cotton aphid) is the source of this 1524-nucleotide long non-coding RNA. RefSeq lists it as uncharacterized. Lineage: Eukaryota; Metazoa; Arthropoda; Insecta; Hemiptera; Aphididae. The transcript is spliced from 3 exons. The record is from RefSeq and is a predicted model, not a curated record.
UUAAUAUUUUAAAUAAAAAACCGACACGGCAACACUAAAAACAAAUUAUAUUCUAAGAGAUUCAUGAGACAGUACCUGAUCGCCUACAAUAUAUUUCAAAACGUUAUAUCAAUGCAAUUCACCAAUCAAAAUUAUGAACACCGUAUGAGCAAAAGUGAAUAGUUGUUGUGAAGUACAAGUAAAAUAAAUAAAUGAAAAGAGGAACAGCUGAGUGAUUCCAGUACAACUCAUAACAGCAAAGUAGUAAUCGAGGAAAAAAACCGUCGAGCAGCACCUAUCAACAAGUACACUCACCAUAAGACAAAGUAACCUAUCAUAGUGGAAAAAAGGAAUUGAAGCAAUGAACAGAAUAUUAAUUAAUUUUUUGAUACAUAACACGUUAGAUUAGCAAAAACCAUUUUGUAUUAAUAGUCUAUACAAAACAUGUCCUUUUUAGAUUUUGGAAAAACUAGUGCAUCGAACCAACACUUUUCAGAACUCUCUAAAAUAGCAAUAUCAUGGUAUAUAAACACAGGAAUCCCAAUAACUACCAACACCACUUACAGAGAGACACAGGAACUACCGCAGUAAAAACUACAGCAGUAACCACUCAUAUACUAUCAAAUGUGAACUAAAUUUUUCUCAAAGGUUUCAAUCUGAAGAUAUAAGUGAACGUAACAUUGAAUGAACAAGAAGGGACUACAAUGUUUUUAAUAACUUGUUGGGGAAUUAGGAGACAAAAAUUAAUCGUAUUUCAUUUUAGAUACUCAAGAUAAAAAAGCUGGAUAUUUUCAGCAAAACGUUAAAAGCAACAAAGCAAAUACAGAGGAAAUAACACAUUUAGCAGCACCAAUCCACAAGUACAUGAGCCAAAAACAAGGAAAACAAGAGUGGAAGCCAUGAUCAAAACAACCUGCAGAAUAUUAUUUUAUUCUUUUGAUAAAAAAACCCGUAACAUAAGCCAUAACCGUUUUAUAAAAUUAUUUUAUACACAUUAUAUUUCUAUAGGAUUAAGGUAAAAAUCAAAACUAAAUUUCAUAUCAAAAUAAUUAUGUGUGGAAAUACACAAUCUUAAUUCAACUUCAAAUAACAAACCCACUUUUCAUCGCACACAUUUGAAACAAUUAACAUUAAAAUUAUUUUUUAAUAAAUGUAAUUUUAAUACUACUUUUUGAACAAUCUGAUAAUAUUUAAUUUGAAAUAACGUAAAACCUUAUUAAUAAUAUGUGUGUAAACAUACCUACUUCAAUUUGAAUUUUCUAAUAAAAAAUAAUAUUAUCAUUUCACACAAUUGUAACAAUAACCAAAUGAUCAUUUUUAAAUGUAGAGUAACUAUAAUCUAACUUUUUGAAUAAAUUGACAAUGUAGAAUGUAAAAAACUACAAUUUUCUUUUUAAUCCUUAGUAAAUGUGUGAACAUACCUCAAUUUAAAUUUCCUAAUUAAAAAUAAAGUUUUCAUUUGACACAGUUGAAACAAUAACCAUUCGAAUCAUUUUAAAAUUUAGAGUAACUAUAAUGUAACUUUUUGAGCGUAAUGAUAAUAUU